This 423-nucleotide long non-coding RNA is filed under the name Elaeis guineensis (African oil palm). Its description in RNAcentral is "long non-coding RNA (EGUI_LNC055074)". The record is from RNAcentral. Lineage: Eukaryota; Viridiplantae; Streptophyta; Magnoliopsida; Arecales; Arecaceae.
CUGAUCCCUUUUAAGGUUGGCGUCUUAUGGAAGAUAAGGAUAAGAAUAAAGUAGUUUCGGUUCAAAUUCAAGUGUUGGUUGAUUCUUAUCACCAAUUCAAAUCAAAUUUAAAUUAAAUUUUGAACCAAACUUUAUUCUUAUCUUAUGAACUCAGAGAGGGGUCAACCAAUAUCAGAAUGGUGCAAAAAAUUUUAUGUAAAAAUAUUUUAUGCAUGGAGAAAUGUGGUGGCGUGAAGAGGAGAGUCCAACUCAAUUUGGGUUCUAGAUUUUUAUUCAAAUUCAAAUCAAUUUGAACUCAAAUUUAAACCAACCAAUUUCUAAUUCAAAAGAACUCAGAUGAGGACAUGAGAAAGACUUCUGGGCAUGAGAAAAAAUCAUAUAAAAUAUUUCUUACGUGAAGAAUAAGAGGACGUAGAUAAAGGA